CCUACGGGGGGCAGCAGUGGGGGAUAUUGCACAAUGGGCGCAAGCCUGAUGCAGCGACGCCGCGUGGGUGAAGAAGUACCUCGGUACGUAAAGCCCUAUCAGCAGGGAAGAAAAUGACGGUACCUGACUAAGAAGCUCCGGCUAAAUACGUGCCAGCAGCCGCGGUAAUACGUAUGGAGCAAGCGUUAUCCGGAUUUACUGGGUGUAAAGGGAGCGUAGGCGGCAUACCAAGCCUGAUGUGAAAACCCGGGGCCCAACCCCGGGAGUGCAUUGGGAACUGGCAAGCUAGAGUGUCGGAGAGGCAGGCGGAAUUCCUAGUGUAGCGGUGAAAUGCGUAGAUAUUAGGAGGAACACCAGUGGCGAAGGCGGCCUGCUGGACGAUGACUGACGCUGAGGCUCGAAAGCGUGGGGAGCAAACAGGAUUAGAUACCCCUGUA
This 437-nucleotide ribosomal RNA is filed under the name uncultured bacterium. RNAcentral's name for it is "bacterial SSU rRNA". It matches the Rfam family "Bacterial small subunit ribosomal RNA", at positions 338 to 792 of the family's 1533-position model. The record is from RNAcentral.